Molecule: ribosomal RNA, 301 nt
Filed under: uncultured bacterium
Lineage: Bacteria
Description: partial 16S ribosomal RNA
Rfam family: Bacterial small subunit ribosomal RNA
Source: RNAcentral
CAGCCGCCACGGUAAUACGGAGGGUGCAAGCGUUAAUCGGAAUUACUGGGCGUAAAGCGCACGCAGGCGGUCUGACAAGUCAGAUGUGAAAUCCCCGGGCUUAACCUGGGAACUGCAUUUGAAACUGUCAGGCUGGAGUCUUGUAGAGGGGGGUAGAAUUCCAGGUGUAGCGGUGAAAUGCGUAGAGAUCUGGAGGAAUACCGGUGGCGAAGGCGGCCCCCUGGACAAAGACUGACGCUCAGGUGCGAAAGCGUGGGGAGCAAACAGGAUUAGAUACCCGCGUAGUCCCUGUCUCUUAUAC